CCAACGGCUCUUUUCAGAGCCACCCACACUUCUUGGAGAUUGUCCU
This is a non-coding RNA of Poecilia formosa (Amazon molly), 46 nucleotides long. NCBI's taxonomy places the organism in Eukaryota, Metazoa, Chordata, Actinopteri, Cyprinodontiformes, Poeciliidae. The record is from Rfam.